Molecule: ribosomal RNA, 292 nt
Filed under: uncultured bacterium
Lineage: Bacteria
Description: partial 16S ribosomal RNA
Rfam family: Bacterial small subunit ribosomal RNA
Source: RNAcentral
GUGCCAGCCGCCGCGGUAAUACGUAGGAUCCGAGCGUUAUCCGAAUUUACUGGGCGUAAAGCGCGUGCAGGCGGUUUGGUAAGUUGGAUGUGAAAGCUCCCGGCUCAACUGGGAGAGGCCGUUCAAAACUACCAGACUAGAGGACGGUAGAGGGAGGUAGAAUUCCCGGUGUAGUAGUGAAAUGCGUAGAUAUCGGGAGGAAUACCAGUGGCGAAGGCGGCCUCCUGGACCGUUCCUGACGCUCAGACGCGAAAGCUAGGGGAGCGAACGGGAUUAGAUACCCCUGUAGUCC